AACGAACGCUGGCGGCAGGCCUAACACAUGCAAGUCGAGCGCACCCCUCGGGGCGAGCGGCGGACGGGUUAGUAACGCGUGGGAACGUACCUUUUUCUACGGAAUAGCCUCGGGAAACUGAGAGUAAUACCGUAUAAGCCCUUCGGGGGAAAGAUUUAUCGGUAAAGGAUCGGCCCGCGUUAGAUUAGAUAGUUGGUGGGGUAAUGGCCUACCAAGUCUACGAUCUAUAGCUGGUUUUAGAGGAUGAUCAGCAACACUGGGACUGAGACACGGCCCAGACUCCUACGGGAGGCAGCAGUGGGGAAUCUUAGACAAUGGGCGAAAGCCUGAUCUAGCCAUGCCGCGUGUGUGAUGAAGGCCUUAGGGUCGUAAAGCACUUUCGCCAGAGAUGAUAAUGACAGUAUCUGGUAAAGAAACCCCGGCUAACUCCGUGCCAGCAGCCGCGGUAAUACGGAGGGGGUUAGCGUUGUUCGGAAUUACUGGGCGUAAAGCGCACGUAGGCGGAUCAGAAAGUAAGAGGUGAAAUCCCAGGGCUCAACCCUGGAACUGCCU
RNAcentral lists this ribosomal RNA (552 nucleotides) under uncultured bacterium. RNAcentral's name for it is "bacterial SSU rRNA". It matches the Rfam family "Bacterial small subunit ribosomal RNA", at positions 28 to 626 of the family's 1533-position model. The record is from RNAcentral.